UUUCAGAUGUUGUACAACUACAGGACUUUCAAUCUCAGUCAAGUUGUGGCGUCAGUUGCACGAAUGGUAACUGUAAUUCAAACUGGUCACUGGAAAAAGUGCCGCUGUGUGGGAAUCAAUUGUAGUUUCUCCGGAAAAGAUGUUACAGCCAGUGUAUGAAGACUGAACUUUUGGUACGGUCACAGGUGCUCUUGCAAAGACUGAUGGCUUGGCAGCAUAAACUGUUCUUUGGUUAUAUGGGUAAUGUCUUUAAACAGAAGCAUGCUGUUGUGGAGUGAAAGUGCACAAACCAUUGAUAACCCUUUGAAGAAUCAGUACCAGGUGUGGCAAGAAGUUUGAAAUCAAAGUCACAAGAAGUUGUUUGAUGAUGGAAGUAUCUGUGAUCAUUUAGUAUUUCCAGUGGUUCAGAGGAACAGAUUACACUCAGUUAAAACUAAAUGUGAUAUUUAUCUAUUUGUGAAUGAACGAGGACUUAAUGAGGAUAAAAUGUUAAGAAGACAAACCUGAUGCGGCAACAAUUUUGUGACAGUAUCAGUGUAAUAUUUAAACAUGUACAACUGUUUUUCAUUAUAAAUGCAGUAAAAGGUUAUACAAUGUUAAAACUGCUUUACACUUUUUAUGCGAGGGAAUAUGUUGUAUAUGGUCACUAUAGAUGUUUUUCCAUUUGAUGAAAUAAUAUUGUGGGUGAACCGGUGAAGAAUAUAUUGACCAAAUCUGUCAUGUUGACCAUAAUGUUCCGUGCAACCUUUAUUGUACAAAAUGUAGAUUUGUUAUAGCACCAAAUAAUAGUGAGAUUGGAAGGCCAGUGUGCAAACCACUGAGCUAUCCGCCCACCACCAUUAGAUAUAUUAAGGCAAAAAUCGUCAUCUCGGCGCAAAAACUGUAUGCAUGUUUGUGCUUCUUUACUUCAAUGAGCCCACAUUUGGCGCUGAGGUGACAUUAUAAUUAAAAAAAAAACCCUAAUACCUUCUCAUCGGUAACACUACUUAUUUACGUUGCUUACAGUUAAGCAUGAUAAAAAAUAUGGAAUAAAAAUCUUGAUAAAAUU
Molecule: long non-coding RNA, 1048 nt
Organism: Mercenaria mercenaria
Lineage: Eukaryota; Metazoa; Mollusca; Bivalvia; Venerida; Veneridae
Exons: 4
Source: RefSeq, a predicted model, not a curated record